CCGGGAAUGCUGAGGUAUCAAUGGGAAGAUGCGGUUAGAUUCUGGAAUUCAAAGAAAGGAGAGGUAUUGUGUAUUUCCAAACUCUUAUAUAUAGUGUUUACUAUAUACGUAAUAAUAAUUUCAUUAUGUAGGACCGUGAGCGAGUUGGAACAAGCAGCAAGCAAAAACAAAAAUUCACGCACACAGCAGGGUCGAGAAGUUUUGCUUCUGUAGCUGAGGCCGAGGAAGUCAAAUCUGGACAAAAAGUUGGACGCCUUCAACUUUUUGAGAUUACGCAUAGGAAGAAAGAUGGAUCUCCUAUGACAUCUGAAGCUGGAGAAAUUAUGGAGAAACUAAAGGAGAAGAAGGCGGAAUAUGAAGCGAUUGCUUCGACUGAUAGUUCUGUUAAUCUUGAGAACAUUGAUAACAGAAUUAUCACUAAAGUUUUGGCUCCUGAAAAGUACGGUCGGGUUCGAUUUCA
Molecule: long non-coding RNA, 460 nt
Organism: Gossypium arboreum
Lineage: Eukaryota; Viridiplantae; Streptophyta; Magnoliopsida; Malvales; Malvaceae
Exons: 3
Source: RefSeq, a predicted model, not a curated record